UACACGUUGUUCACUGCAUCUUUCUUAUACUUCAUUCCUCCGCCAUGGCUCCCGAGUUUCCCAAUUUUCAAUCGGUGCCUCCCAACCAUUGGUACAGUUUGAGUGGGCGACAUUCUCCCUUCUUUUAUUCUCACAUGAUUGGAUUUAAAAUCGACAUCGCCCUUUUAAUUGUAUUGUUAUCUUCUCAAUUUGAGUGUUUUGAUUAAACGAGAAGGGACUGCCCCUUGUCAUCCCAUGAACUAACUUGUCGCCUGUCGGGAUGUAGCUAACUUUUUAUAUCAUAAUCUCUACAAAAGCCCUAAUUUGUUUUUUCUCGUUGCCAUAUGUAUUGCUUCCUUCAUUCCGUGUCAGUUGAGUGUUCGUCUGCUCCGCUCUCUUCACGCUACCGUCUUAUGAUAUUAAUUAAUCGAUUAUGUUGAGUCAAGAAACCGUGAUUACGAUUUGGUGUUCAUCUUUUGUAGGAGAUUAGUUUCUGCUACCUAAUUCAGGUCUUUGGCUUUUACUUUUGGUUGCUGAUUAACAAGUCUGAAAAAUAUGUUGUUAUCUUAGACCUAACUUCCUUUGAUCGCUCUUGGUUAAGGUGCCUCUCUGUUUCUUUAUUACUUUUCAAUUUUGGUAGUACUUAUUGAUAUUUUUUACUGGGGAAAAUGAAAUAUUACAAUAGUAAAAGGUAAGGAAAGCUUUAUGUUUGUUCUUCAAUUUUGGUUUAUGUCGCAUGGUAGGGAGUCUGAAUGGUUUUCUUAUUUCUGCUUCUUGGGUAUUUUUGUAUUAAUUGUUUGCUUUACUUUCUGGUGGUCUGUGCAACAUCAAAAUUUUAGAACUGCUAUGGCUGAAGAUAUGCAAGUCUACAUGUCAGAUCCAAUAUUUUUGGCCUUUAGAAGGACCCUACUGAAGCGAAGAAGCUGUUGAAUAUUCAGAGAUAGUUGGAAGAAACAAAAGGGUAUCUUUAUGUAUGGAGAUUGUUCCAAAAGAAGCUAUUAAAUAACACAAUCCCCAUUUUCUGUAUUUUCUUUUGGUCAAGGUUGUUUUGACUUCAACGUGUGUGAAUCUGUUCUUCUUCCUUAAUGAUUACAAUCUGAGUCUUUUUUCUUUGGUAGGUGGUGUCCCAUUUUGCAAUCUGACACGAGAAAGCCAUAAAUUGUCGCCAUGAAGAAAAAAUCAAAUAUGUUGGACACUCCAGCCCUCGCCUACUGCAACUCCUGAAAUGUCUAUACCCUGGUUAAAUCAAUUGAAGAAAGCACAUCCAAUUCUUCACGAAAGAUGCUUCCACAACAACAUUCCAAAAUGAAACAAACGGGUAUUUGGGUUUGAGGACUUUUAAUCUUUUCAAAAAGAUUGAAUGUAGGGACAUUGUUACAGUUUAUUUAGCGGAAUUAGUGGGGACAAAUUCUCUUUUUGCUAUUAAGUGUAUGGAUAAUGAGUUUUCAGAAAGAAGAAAGAAGAUGCCAAGGGCAGAUAUAAAGAGAGAAAUUUGGAUCCAUCCUUUUUUACCGACUUUAUAUGUGCAUUUUGUAUCCGAGAAUUUAUCGUGUUUGGUUAUGGAGUAUUGACCAAGUGGCGGUCUUCAUUUCUCAGAAAAAAAAAUAGCCGGAUCAAUAUUAUAUUGACGAAGCACCAAGAUUCUAUGUUGCAGAAGUCCUCACAUUAGCAUAUCUACACAUGCUUGGAAUCGUAUACCAGGAUCUAAAACCCAAAAACAUUUUAUUUUGAGAAGACGAACACAUCAUGCUAAAUGAUUUAGACCUUUAUCUUCAUUGCACUGUGAAAAUGUGAUUCCUUUCAUUGCUUUAGCUUUGUUCAUCCAGAUUGUCUUUCUUCAUCAGAUAAAAAUCUUUAUGAAUUAGUUUAAUUGCUUUUAUUAUCAUUUGAAAUAA
Long non-coding RNA from Lactuca sativa (garden lettuce), 1874 nucleotides. RefSeq lists it as uncharacterized. The record is from RefSeq and is a predicted model, not a curated record. NCBI's taxonomy places the organism in Eukaryota, Viridiplantae, Streptophyta, Magnoliopsida, Asterales, Asteraceae.